This 21-nucleotide non-coding RNA is filed under the name Caenorhabditis elegans. Lineage: Eukaryota; Metazoa; Nematoda; Chromadorea; Rhabditida; Rhabditidae. The record is from RNAcentral.
UCCGUAAUCGAUGAUAAAGAU